AUUGAACGCUGGCGGUAUGCUUAACACAUGCAAGUCGAACGGUAGCAGGCCUCCGGGCGCUGACGAGUGGCGGACGGGUGAGUAAUGCAUAGGAAUCUGCCUAUUAGUGGGGGGACAACGUGGGGAAACUCACGCUAAUACCGCAUACGCCCUACGGGGGGAAAGCGGGGGGAUCGUAAGACCUCGCGCUAUGAGAUGAGCCUGCGUUAGAUUAGCUAGUUGGUAGGGUAAAGGCCUACCAAGGCGACGAUCUAUAGCUGGUCUGAGAGGACGAUCAGCCACACUGGGACUGAGACACGGCCCAGACUCCUACGGGUGGCAG
This 322-nucleotide ribosomal RNA is filed under the name uncultured Pseudomonadota bacterium. RNAcentral describes it as "bacterial SSU rRNA". It matches the Rfam family "Bacterial small subunit ribosomal RNA", at positions 30 to 351 of the family's 1533-position model. The record is from RNAcentral. Lineage: Bacteria; Pseudomonadati; Pseudomonadota.